UGGAUCAAUGAUGAGUACCUGUGGGGCAUCUGAACAAAAUACUCUGAUUAGACCCUGUCUGUGACUCUGAGGUCCGU
Loxodonta africana (African savanna elephant) is the source of this 77-nucleotide small nucleolar RNA. Ensembl annotates it as small nucleolar RNA SNORD113/SNORD114 family. Its record names the gene SNORD113-7. The record is from Ensembl. NCBI's taxonomy places the organism in Eukaryota, Metazoa, Chordata, Mammalia, Proboscidea, Elephantidae.